GAUGAACGCUGGCGGCGUGCCUAAUACAUGCAAGUCGAGCGAACUGAUUAGAAGCUUGCUUCUAUGACGUUAGCGGCGGACGGGUGAGUAACACGUGGGCAACCUGCCUGUAAGACUGGGAUAACUUCGGGAAACCGAAGCUAAUACCGGAUAGGAUCUUCUCCUUCAUGGGAGAUGAUUGAAAGAUGGUUUCGGCUAUCACUUACAGAUGGGCCCGCGGUGCAUUAGCUAGUUGGUGAGGUAACGGCUCACCAAGGCAACGAUGCAUAGCCGACCUGAGAGGGUGAUCGGCCACACUGGGACUGAGACACGGCCCAGACUCCUACGGGAGGCAGCAGUAGGGAAUCUUCCGCAAUGGACGAAAGUCAGACGGAGCAACGCCGCGUGAGUGAUGAAGGCUUUCGGGUCGUAAAACUCUGUUGUUAGGGAAGAACAAGUACGAGAGUAGCUGCUCGUACCUUGACGGUACCUAACCAGAAAGCCACGGCUAACUACGUGCCAGCCGCCGCAGUAA
Molecule: ribosomal RNA, 514 nt
Filed under: uncultured bacterium
Lineage: Bacteria
Description: partial 16S ribosomal RNA
Rfam family: Bacterial small subunit ribosomal RNA
Source: RNAcentral